This 468-nucleotide ribosomal RNA is filed under the name uncultured bacterium. RNAcentral's name for it is "partial 16S ribosomal RNA". It matches the Rfam family "Bacterial small subunit ribosomal RNA", at positions 28 to 507 of the family's 1533-position model. The record is from RNAcentral.
GACGAACGCUGGCGGCGUGCUUAACACAUGCAAGUCGAACGGAAAGGCCCUGCUUUUGUGGGGUGCUCGAGUGGCGAACGGGUGAGUAACACGUGAGUAACCUGCCCUUGACUUUGGGAUAACUUCAGGAAACUGGGGCUAAUACCGGAUAGGAGCUCCUGCUGCAUGGUGGGGGUUGGAAAGUUUCGGCGGGUGGGGAUGGACUCGCGGCUUAUCAGCUUGUUGGUGGGGUAGUGGUUUACCAAGGCUUUGACGGGUAGCCGGCCUGAGAGGGUGACCGGCCACCUUGGGCCUGAGAUACGGCCCAGUCUCCUACGGGAGGCAGCAGUGGGGAAUAUUGCACAAUGGGCGGAAGCCUGAUGAAGCAGCGCCGCGUGCGGGAUGACGGCCUUCGGGUUGUAAACCGCUUUCGCCUGUGACGAAGCGUGAGUGACGGUAAUGGGUAAAGAAGCACCGGCUAACUACGUG